RNAcentral lists this ribosomal RNA (253 nucleotides) under uncultured bacterium. RNAcentral describes it as "partial 16S ribosomal RNA". It matches the Rfam family "Bacterial small subunit ribosomal RNA", at positions 524 to 776 of the family's 1533-position model. The record is from RNAcentral.
UACGAAGGGUGCUAGCGUUGUUCGGAAUUACUGGGCGUAAAGGGUGCGUAGGCGGGUCUUUAAGUCAGGGGGGAAAUCCUGGAGCUCAACUCCAGAACUGCCUUUGAUACUGAGGAUCUUGAGUUCGGGAGAGGUGAGUGGAACUGCGAGUGUAGAGGUGAAAUUCGUAGAUAUUCGCAAGAACACCAGUGGCGAAGGCGGCUCACUGGCCCGAUACUGACGCUGAGGCACGAAAGCGUGGGGAGCAAACAGG